GCCGGCGUAACUCAGUUGGUAGAGUAACUGAUUCGUAAUCAGUAAGUCACCAGUUCGACUCUGGUCGUCGGCUCCA
Molecule: transfer RNA, 76 nt
Filed under: Desulfamplus sp.
Lineage: Bacteria; Pseudomonadati; Thermodesulfobacteriota; Desulfobacteria; Desulfobacterales; Desulfobacteraceae
Description: tRNA-Thr
Rfam family: tRNA
About the family: Transfer RNA (tRNA) molecules are approximately 80 nucleotides in length. Their secondary structure includes four short double-helical elements and three loops (D, anti-codon, and T loops). Further hydrogen bonds mediate the characteristic L-shaped molecular structure. tRNAs have two regions of fundamental functional importance: the anti-codon, which is responsible for specific mRNA codon recognition, and the 3' end, to which the tRNAs corresponding amino acid is attached (by aminoacyl-tRNA synthetases). tRNAs cope with the degeneracy of the genetic code in two manners: having more than one tRNA (with a specific anti-codon) for a particular amino acid; and 'wobble' base-pairing, i.e. permitting non-standard base-pairing at the 3rd anti-codon position.
Source: RNAcentral